Molecule: long non-coding RNA, 201 nt
Filed under: Elaeis guineensis (African oil palm)
Lineage: Eukaryota; Viridiplantae; Streptophyta; Magnoliopsida; Arecales; Arecaceae
Description: long non-coding RNA (EGUI_LNC055002)
Source: RNAcentral
UAGCAAUCGUGAAACUGGUAAAUGUUGCAAAAGGUUUGUAUAUAAUACAAACUAAUUUAUCAUUAAGUACUUCAUUUUUAAAUUCUUAGGUAUUAGAUACUGCCUGUGGUUUCGCCUUUGCAAAUCAUUGUAGGGUCUAUAAAAAAUAAAAAGUCUGAAUAAAGGUGACUUCAAGCUAUUCAAUGCUAGUGAAGAGUCCAU